GUGGAUUAGAUACCCUAGUAGUCCACGCCCUAAACGAUGCGAACUGGAUGUUGGGUGCAAUUUGGCACUCAGUAUCGAAGCUAACGCGUUAAGUUCGCCGCCUGGGGAGUACGGUCGCAAGACUGAAACUCAAAGGAAUUGACGGGGGCCCGCACAAGCGGUGGAGUAUGUGGUUUAAUUCGAUGCAACGCGAAGAACCUUACCUGGCCUUGACAUGUCCGGAACCUCUGAGAGAUCGGAGGGUGCCUUCGGGAACCGGAACACAGGUGCUGCACGGCCGUCGCCAGCU
RNAcentral lists this ribosomal RNA (289 nucleotides) under uncultured bacterium. RNAcentral's name for it is "partial 16S ribosomal RNA". It matches the Rfam family "Bacterial small subunit ribosomal RNA", at positions 773 to 1060 of the family's 1533-position model. The record is from RNAcentral.